GACGAACCGAGCGAACGUUGUUCGGAAUCACUGGGCUUAAAGGGUGCGUAGGCUGUGCAGUAAGUUGGGUGUGAAAUCCCUCGGCUCAACCGAGGAACUGCGCCGAAUACUGCUGUGCUAGAGGAAGAUAGGGGUAAGCGGAACUGAUGGUGGAGCGGUGAAAUGCGUUGAUAUCAUCAGGAACACCGGUGGCGAAGGCGGCUUACUGGAUCUUUUCUGACGCUGAUGCACGAAAGCUAGGGGAGCGAACGGG
This 253-nucleotide ribosomal RNA is filed under the name uncultured bacterium. RNAcentral's name for it is "partial 16S ribosomal RNA". It matches the Rfam family "Bacterial small subunit ribosomal RNA", at positions 524 to 776 of the family's 1533-position model. The record is from RNAcentral.